GUGGAGGAGGUGAUGCUAGUGGUCGGUGGUCUCGGCCUGGCCGUCGAUUCUUGCCGGCUAUGCUCACCACACUCCUCCACCGCGCCUGUCCCUGACGGCCAUCGUGGUCCCGCCGUGAUCAAGGACAACUGGCCUGUCUACUCCCUGCCGGAGGUUGCCCCAACCGCUGCGACCUCGACGCCCCGCCAUUCAUGACCUCGUGGACAUCGAAAGGCAAUGGGCGCAGCCAUAUGGGACCUCCUCCAUGCGCUGGAUCUGAAGAACGUGUAGGGGCGCGUCCACGGCGUGCAGUAGGUUGGCCCCAAGGACCACUGCUGUGACCUUGUUGAUGCCGCUGUUCAGGACCUCGUCGACAUCGAAAGACCACCUAGUUUCUUGUUUGGGCUGGCUGUUGCGGCGAGUUCACUGCGCCUCAGAAGUGACAUUGUUAAUUGAAUCAUGGCUGUGUGUAUGGCAUGUAACAGUGACUUGAUCUUUCAGAGGUAUAAUCCAUCCAUUAGUUAGUAACUCCAGAUGCCCAGGGCAUGGCUAUUUCCUCAUUUUGUUGUUAUGUGGAUGUACCAUGCUCUCCUCUACAUGCAUGCUCUUUGACACCACCAUGUAGCUGUUUCUGAAGUGUGAUUCCGCCCUUGAGCCGAUUUGUGCUUGUUUAGUUUCAGGUUUUGGCUCUAGUGUAUAAUUAGAGGCUGAUACCUGCAGACAAUAGUCGAACGUGCAAACGCGAAAUGGCCAGAUUUAGUCGAGCGAUCAAUUUAGUCUGAUGCACGCCCAGCCGCCUCGCUGAAUCCCUCCAUACGACAAGCAAGAUAAGUUUUUUCUGCCGGUGCUGCAACAUCCCUACGCGGCGGCGCUCGAUUCGUGGCCGAUGGGGCUGGAUCCGACGACAGCGAAGGAGAAGGCGGCUGGAGGCGGAAGAGAAGGAGGCCGGCUCCCCUCCUGCCAGCCGUCGACCACUCCCCUGGGCGCAGAGCUUCGCCUCCCCACUAUCGAGGUCCGGAGUUGGACGGCGAAGGA
Lolium rigidum is the source of this 1014-nucleotide long non-coding RNA. RefSeq lists it as uncharacterized. Lineage: Eukaryota; Viridiplantae; Streptophyta; Magnoliopsida; Poales; Poaceae. The record is from RefSeq and is a predicted model, not a curated record. The transcript is spliced from 3 exons.